Non-coding RNA from Gorilla gorilla gorilla (western lowland gorilla), 215 nucleotides. It matches the Rfam family "Metazoan signal recognition particle RNA". From Rfam's summary of the family: The signal recognition particle (SRP) is a universally conserved ribonucleoprotein. It is involved in the co-translational targeting of proteins to membranes. The eukaryotic SRP consists of a 300-nucleotide 7S RNA and six proteins: SRPs 72, 68, 54, 19, 14, and 9. NCBI's taxonomy places the organism in Eukaryota, Metazoa, Chordata, Mammalia, Primates, Hominidae. The record is from Rfam.
GCUGGGCAUGGUGGCACACGCCUGUAGGCCCAGCCACUUGGGAGGCUGAGUCAGAAGAAUCACUUGAACCCGGGAAGCAGAGGUUGCAGUGAGCGGAGAUCACGCCACUGCACUCCAGCCUAGCGNNNNNNNNNNCGCUAGGCUGGAGUGCAGUGGCGUGAUCUCCGCUCACUGCAACCUCUGCUUCCCGGGUUCAAGUGAUUCUUCUGACUCAG